AGAGUUUGAUCCUGGCUCAGGAUGAACGCUGGCGGCGUGCUUAACACAUGCAAGUCGAACGGGAACCUCUGGAUUCGUCUGGAGGGGAGAGUGGCGAACGGGUGAGUAACACGUAGGUGACCUGCCUCGAAGACGGGGACAACCACUGGAAACGGUGGCUAAUACCCGAUAGUCUCGGUGAUUCGGUUCAUCGAGUAAAUGCUCUGGCGCUUCGAGAGGGGCCUGCGGCCCAUCAGCUAGUUGGUAGGGUAAUGGCCUACCAAGGCAGAGACGGGUAGGGGACGUGAGAGCGUGACCCCCCACACUGGCACUGGGACACGGGCCAGACUCCUACGGGGGGCAGCAGUGAGGAAUAUUGCCCAAUGGGCGAAAGCCUGAGGCAGCAACGCCGCGUGGGUGAUGAAGGCCUUCGGGUCGUAAAACCCUUUUCUGGGGGAAGAGAAAGGACGGUACCCCAGGAAUAAGCCUCGGCUAACUAUGUGCCAGCAGCCGCGGUAACACAUAGGAGGCGAGCGUUAUCCGGAUUUACUGGGCGUAAAGAGCGUUGAGGCGGCCCCGUAAGUUGGACGUGAAAGCUCCCGGCUCAACUGGGAGAGGUCGUUCAAUACUGCAGGGCUUGAGGACAGCAGAGGGGGGUGGAAUUCCCGGUGUAGUGCUGAAAUGCGUAGAUACCGGGAGGAACACCGGUGUCGAAAGGCGGCCCCCUGGGCUGCUCCUGACGCUGAAUGCGAAGCUAGGGGAGCGAAAGGGAUUAGAWACCCCGGUAGUCCUAGCUGUAAACGAUGAACACUAGGCGUUGCUUGUAUCGACCCGAGCAGUGCCGUAGCCAACGCGUUAAGUGUUCCGCCUGGGGAGUACGCACGCAAGUGUGAAACUCAAAGGAAUUGACGGGGGCCCGCACAAGCGGUGGAGUAUGUGGUUUAAUUCGAUGCAACGCGAAGAACCUUACCAGGACUUGACAUGUCGCGAAUCCUUCAGAGAUGAGGGAGUGCCUUAGGGAGCGCGAACACAGGUGGUGCAUGGCUGUCGUCAGCUCGUGUCGUGAGAUGUUGGGUUAAGUCCCGCAACGAGCGCAACCCUCAUUCUUAGUUGCCAGCAUUAAGUUGGGCACUUUAGGAAGACUGCCGGUGACAAACCGGAGGAAGGUGGGGAUGACGUCAAGUCAGCAUGCCCCUUACGUUCUGGGCUACACACGUACUACAAUGGUUGGGACAAAGGGCAGCGAGCGAGCGAUCGUAAGCGAAUCUCAGCAAACCCAGCCUCAGUUCAGAUUGCAGGCUGCAACUCGCCUGCAUGAAGGAGGAAUCGCUAGUAAUCGCAGGUCAGCAUACUGCGGUGAAUUCGUUCCCGGGCCUUGUACACGCCGCCCGUCACACCAUGGAAGUUGGCCACGCCCGAAGUCGUUACCCUAGCCAAUUGAGGAGGGGGAUGCCGAAGGCAGGGCUGGUGACUAGGGUGAAGUCGUAACAAGGUAGCCGUACCGGAAGGUGUGGCUGGAUCACCUCCUUA
RNAcentral lists this ribosomal RNA (1509 nucleotides) under uncultured bacterium. RNAcentral's name for it is "partial 16S ribosomal RNA". It matches the Rfam family "Bacterial small subunit ribosomal RNA". The record is from RNAcentral.